Molecule: microRNA precursor, 109 nt
Organism: Cyprinus carpio carpio
Lineage: Eukaryota; Metazoa; Chordata; Actinopteri; Cypriniformes; Cyprinidae
Source: Ensembl
AAAGCAAGACUGAUGUGGUUUUGAACCUGGCAUACAGUGUAGAGAUCUGUGUUUGUCAAAUUACAGCUACAUUGUCUGCUGGGUUUCAGAGCCGCUUCAUAACGCCGGA